RNAcentral lists this ribosomal RNA (330 nucleotides) under Triticum aestivum (bread wheat). Its description in RNAcentral is "partial small subunit ribosomal RNA". The record is from RNAcentral. Lineage: Eukaryota; Viridiplantae; Streptophyta; Magnoliopsida; Poales; Poaceae.
CUUUUCUUCCAGUGCCGCUUUUCGCUUGCGGUAUGGAACUCGGUCAAAGCAAAGAUUGGACUCCUUGAGAUCACGGCGACAGAUUGGGUGAAUAUGGUGAGUGUGAAAGAAUGGUGGAGCAAGCUGGCUCUCGCGCGCUUGCCAAAUAGAAAAGGUCAGGCCUCCUUCCUCAUGAUUGUUUCCUGGGAGCUGUGGAAGGAGAGGAACUCCAGGGUCUUCCGGAAUGUUUCUGCGCCAUUGGCGAUCGUUGUGGGUAAGAUCAUGGAGGAGGCAAGGAUAUGGGCUUCUGCUAGUGCCAAGGGAUUAGAUGUAAUCUUAACUCGCGAGUGA